This 497-nucleotide ribosomal RNA is filed under the name uncultured bacterium. Its description in RNAcentral is "partial 16S ribosomal RNA". It matches the Rfam family "Bacterial small subunit ribosomal RNA", at positions 28 to 507 of the family's 1533-position model. The record is from RNAcentral.
GAUGAACGCUGGCGGCGUGCCUAAUACAUGCAAGUCGAGCGAACGGACGAGAAGCUUGCUUCUCUGAUGUUAGCGGCGGACGGGUGAGUAACACGUGGAUAACCUACCUAUAAGACUGGGAUAACUUCGGGAAACCGGAGCUAAUACCGGAUAAUAUUUUGAACCGCAUGGUUCAAAAGUGAAAGACGGUUUUGCUGUCACUUAUAGAUGGAUCCGCGCUGCAUUAGCUAGUUGGUAAGGUAACGGCUUACCAAGGCAACGAUGCAUAGCCGACCUGAGAGGGUGAUCGGCCACACUGGAACUGAGACACGGUCCAGACUCCUACGGGAGGCGGCAGUAGGGAAUCUUCCGCAAUGGGCGAAAGCCUGACGGAGCAACGCCGCGUGAGUGAUGAAGGUCUUCGGAUCGUAAAACUCUGUUAUUAGGGAAGAACAUAUGUGUAAGUAACUGUGCACAUCUUGACGGUACCUAAUCAGAAAGCCACGGCUAACUACGUG